RNAcentral lists this ribosomal RNA (271 nucleotides) under uncultured bacterium. RNAcentral's name for it is "partial 16S ribosomal RNA". It matches the Rfam family "Bacterial small subunit ribosomal RNA", at positions 524 to 794 of the family's 1533-position model. The record is from RNAcentral.
UACGUAGGUGGCAAGCGUUGUCCGGAAUUAUUGGGCGUAAAGCGCGCGCAGGCGGCCUCUUAAGUCUGAUGUGAAAGCCCCCGGCUCAACCGGGGAGGGCCAUUGGAAACUGGGAGGCUUGAGUAUAGGAGAGAAGAGUGGAAUUCCACGUGUAGCGGUGAAAUGCGUAGAGAUGUGGAGGAACACCAGUGGCGAAGGCGGGUCUCUGGGCCGUAACUGACGCUGAGGAGCGAAAGCGUGGGGAGCGAACAGGAUUAGACUACCGUGUAGU